This 530-nucleotide ribosomal RNA is filed under the name Lycosa clara. RNAcentral describes it as "partial 12S ribosomal RNA". The record is from RNAcentral. Lineage: Eukaryota; Metazoa; Arthropoda; Arachnida; Araneae; Lycosidae.
GAACCUGAUAUUUAAUCGACAAUCCACGUUAAAUUUCACUUUAAUUAAAAAUUCAUAUCCCGCCAUCUAAAAAACUAAUUUUAUGAUAAUAUUUAAAAAAAAAAAAUAAAAAGUUAGGCCAGGGUGUGAUCAACUUUAAAAAAAUAAAGGGGUUACUUUAAAAACAACUUAGGGUUUUUUUUAUAAGAAUAUAAAAUGAAAAGGGAUUUGAAAGUAAUAAUAAAAUAAUUUUUUUUUAUAUASNANYAUNBBUAAAACCUAUUUAUAAUGGCGGCAUUUCAUCUUAUUAGAGGAACCUGUUCUUUAAUCGAUAAUCCACGUUAAGUUUCACUUAAAUUAAAAAUUUAUAUACCGCCAUCUAAAAAACUAAUUUAAUAAUAAUAUUUUCAAAAAAAAUAAAAAGUUAGGUCAAGGUGUAAUCUACAUUUAAGCAAAUAAUGGGUUACAUUAAAAAGAAUUUAAGGAUACCUUUAAAAAAAUAAAUUUUGAAAAAGGAUUUAAAAGUAGUGAUAAAAUAAUACUUCAUCUCG